Molecule: ribosomal RNA, 759 nt
Filed under: Pseudomonas fluorescens
Lineage: Bacteria; Pseudomonadati; Pseudomonadota; Gammaproteobacteria; Pseudomonadales; Pseudomonadaceae
Description: bacterial SSU rRNA
Rfam family: Bacterial small subunit ribosomal RNA
Source: RNAcentral
GUUUGAUUCUGGCUCAGAUUGAACGCUGGCGGCAGGCCUAACACAUGCAAGUCGAGCGGCAGCACGGGUACUUGUACCUGGUGGCGAGCGGCGGACGGGUGAGUAAUGCCUAGGAAUCUGCCUAGUAGUGGGGGAUAACGUCCGGAAACGGGCGCUAAUACCGCAUACGUCCUACGGGAGAAAGUGGGGGAUCUUCGGACCUCACGCUAUUAGAUGAGCCUAGGUCGGAUUAGCUAGUUGGUGAGGUAAUGGCUCACCAAGGCUACGAUCCGUAACUGGUCUGAGAGGAUGAUCAGUCACACUGGAACUGAGACACGGUCCAGACUCCUACGGGAGGCAGCAGUGGGGAAUACAGAAAAAGAGCCGAAAACCUGAUCAGCCAUGCCGCGUGUGUGAAGAAGGUCUUCGGAUUGUAAAGCACUUUAAGUUGGGAGGAAGGGCAGUUACCUAAUACGUGAUUGUUUUGACGUUACCGACAGAAUAAGCACCGGCUAACUCUGUGCCAGCAGCCGCGGUAAUACAGAGGGUGCAAGCGUUAAUCGGAAUUACUGGGCGUAAAGCGCGCGUAGGUGGUUUGUUAAGUUGAAUGUGAAAGCCCCGGGCUCAACCUGGGAACUGCAUCCAAAACUGGCAAGCUAGAGUAUGGUAGAGGGUGGUGGAAUUUCCUGUGUAGCGGUGAAAUGCGUAGAUAUAGGAAGGAACACCAGUGGCGAAGGCGACCACCUGGAAUGACACUGACACUGAGUGCAAACGCCUGGG